AAGCUCGUAGUUGAAUUUCGAAUGUGGCUGGGCGGUCCGCCUCACGGUGUGUACUGUCUGGCUGUGUUCUCUUUCUUGGUGGGCCGGCAUGCCCUUUACUGGGUGUGUUGGGGAACCAGGACGUUUACCUUGAGAAAAUUAGAGUGUUCAAAGCAGGCCUACGCCCGAAUACAUUAGCAUGGCAUAAUAAAAUAGGACGUGCGGUUCUAUUUUGUUGGUUUCUAGAGCCGCAGUAAUGAUUAAUAGGGAUAGUUGGG
This 257-nucleotide ribosomal RNA is filed under the name uncultured Basidiomycota. RNAcentral describes it as "partial 18S ribosomal RNA". It matches the Rfam family "Eukaryotic small subunit ribosomal RNA", at positions 624 to 886 of the family's 1831-position model. The record is from RNAcentral. Lineage: Eukaryota; Fungi; Basidiomycota.